UUGGAUCUGUUUUAAUUACUCUAUGUGGCUAAGAUUAAUUGUUUUAAUUACUUUAUUUGCUGAGAAAACCUAAGUCACGCAAAAGGGAAAAGAGGAAAAGAGUCUCGUGCAAAGCUUGGGAGAAGACCAACGAGAUAGAGAGAUGGAGAUGAAGUGAUGACCCAAGAUUUCUAUUUCUAUAAGGUAAAAAUUCGUGUGCUUAUUCUGGUAUCUGAAGAUUUGAAGAUUUUUGCAAUUCGUG
RNAcentral lists this long non-coding RNA (241 nucleotides) under Panax ginseng (ginseng). RNAcentral describes it as "long non-coding RNA (PGIN_LNC013859)". Lineage: Eukaryota; Viridiplantae; Streptophyta; Magnoliopsida; Apiales; Araliaceae. The record is from RNAcentral.